CCUCUUAGACCUGAGGCCUUACUCUUGAAUUUUUCGAGUUGCCAAACGAGACGUGUUGAGGGUGUCACGUGGUACAAACACGUUACACAAACAGAAAAUCGUACUCUCGACACUCAACACGCAUCUCACAGCUACUCCCUUAACAUGUUGACAACACACAUAGUAUAGAGUAGCCGAGAUAGCUACACGUGACUCGUUUUAAUCGUUUUUCAUCAUGUUGGACGAAUAUGAUAUGUUGCUAGCAAUUGAAAUUUUAGAAAGAGAAGAACGUCGAUCUUUAAGGAGAGAGAGAAUAAUUCGAUCAAGAGGAGAUGCAUUUGAAAUCCAUGAAGUGCAUUUUCGGCGAUUAUUUCGAGUUUCCAAAGAAUUAGCGAAAAAUCUCAUAAAUGAUAUGACACCAUUAAUGAAACAACCUAAACGCAAAUCGGAACUCAGCGUACAAAUAAAGGUGAGUAAGAUAUAAA
This 464-nucleotide long non-coding RNA is filed under the name Androctonus crassicauda. The record is from RNAcentral. Lineage: Eukaryota; Metazoa; Arthropoda; Arachnida; Scorpiones; Buthidae.